Molecule: long non-coding RNA, 1218 nt
Organism: Culex pipiens pallens (northern house mosquito)
Lineage: Eukaryota; Metazoa; Arthropoda; Insecta; Diptera; Culicidae
Exons: 3
Source: RefSeq, a predicted model, not a curated record
CUGUUUGAAAAAUGUCGCACGUCGUACGAGUUGUCGCACGGUUUUGAUUUUACCGUUUCGAUAUCGAUUGGUCGAAAAAACGACAAACGUACGACAAACACUCGACAUGCCCGACAUUGUUUUUUCUAUCGAUUUUCCUUCAAUUUGACGUCACGAUUUUCGUCGACGCAAGAGUUUGACAGUUCUCUUCAGUUGGACUUGUUUGAACAUGAUUGCUGUUGAGCUUCGCAAGGAUUUUGGCCGGUUGAUAGGUUUCCUGAUUUCGGUUAUCGUGGUGGUGGAGGCGAAGGAGGAUGGGAAAUAGAGAUAACCCGGCGGCCAUGCCGGAAGACGGGAUGGGAAGGAACCAAUCUGCGGUCGAGGAAGCGGAUGUUUUAUUUUCCACGGGAGGUUGCGGUGCAUUCCCAAAAGAGAAAAAGGAUUAAAUACCAAGUUCUGGUCAAGGGAACAUAAAUAAGGAAACGGAACUUCCAAUUCCCAGAGAGUUGUUCACUGUUCUGGGUGAAUGAAAAGGCGGAGGAGGACGGAAUAAUACGCUCCCGGUGGCGUUUCUGAUUCGCCAGAAGUUAUUAUCAAUGACAUUCGAAAAUAUUCCUAUCUGAUCCUGCCGAAAGUCUUGCAAAGUGCGCAAACCCACGUUAUCCGUUACUUCAGUGGCCAUCAGUCCAUCGGACAUAAAACAGUGGGGCAGCACCAGGACCGUUUCCAAGUCCAACUUUGAUCAGCAUCUGCGGCAGCAGCGAGGAGCAACAGUCCAUCUUGACCAAGAUGCUGCCCCGCCUGCAUCGGAAGAAGCGACUCGCAACGGCGCUCGAGAAGAUGACUGACGAAUUCCUGCCGAGCAACGAGGAGAACUGGAAGACCAACCGGAAGACGACACCAAGAUGUACGUGAAGAUCCGCGACACAACAAGUAUAAUGAAUUAAUUGAUUUUUUACUCCGGGGAAAAGUGCAAAUUACAUUAAAAACAAAACAAAUUAAAAAUAAACAAAUAUCUAUUUUUUAACUUCAACAUAACCUAAACACCUGAAAAAAAGCACACGACAAAGGCACGACAACCUAAAUAACAAAACCGUGCGACGUCGGUCGAAUGUCGUACGACAAUGUCGAACAAUUUCGAUGAUCGAUCGCACGACAAAUACGACAUUUUGGUGCAAAAACGUAUGACAUUCGUGCGAAUGUCGCACGACAUUGUCGUGUGACGUCGUACAAUUGCAC